AAGUCGUAACAAGGUUUCCUUCACCUAUUGAAGCCUUCAGCAGCGACUGUAAAGAAAUGCGUAGUUUGCUUGCAAGCAAUGCCACUCAAAUGCUGAGACAUAUGAAUCAGCAGCCUUUUAGGCUCACAGAUCAAAUUGUGGUAACCAUUCUUAUGGGCAAGAUAUGACCGGUCUUAACUAGAGUUAGUUAAGAAUCCACGUUCCGUAGGUGAACCUGCGGAAGGAUCAUUCAUAAUAAGUGUUUUACUGCACUUUUUAAAAAUAGUACUCACCUUGUGUGCAAUGUUGUGUUUCUUUUCG
This 300-nucleotide unclassified non-coding RNA is filed under the name Lecanoromycetes sp. Its description in RNAcentral is "partial contains small subunit ribosomal RNA and internal transcribed spacer 1". Lineage: Eukaryota; Fungi; Ascomycota; Lecanoromycetes. The record is from RNAcentral.